This is a long non-coding RNA of Branchiostoma belcheri (Belcher's lancelet), 614 nucleotides long. RefSeq lists it as uncharacterized. Lineage: Eukaryota; Metazoa; Chordata; Leptocardii; Amphioxiformes; Branchiostomatidae. The record is from RefSeq and is a predicted model, not a curated record. The transcript has 2 exons.
AUGGUAACUGUAGCACAUCUUUGUUGGUGUUGGUCUACCGCUGACCUCAAAACAUCAUUCAAUGGUUUUAUCAUUUCCAAAUUUUAUCAGUCUCCUUACAUUUAAAACGUCCCUGUGUCACAAAAUACGCACACGGUGGGGGACCACCACCACCCCCACCCCCAUCAUUUACCUGUUGCCAGGACAGGAGUGACUCAGUGUGUGCACGUGAUGUGGGACGUCAAAUGUCACUGGCCCAGUUUUGGCACACCCAAAUCGUUAAUACUAGUUAAGUUCAUUUGUCCGACAAGGCCUGGUAGUUGACGAAAGAUAACACUCCGACAGUUUUGUGGAUAGUUUGUGCCUACUUGGAACACAGACAUGGCGUCGGCGAGUGAAGAGGGAUCAAGAAAGAACCUCGAGGUGGCUCUACUCGCCAUGCUUGGUUCCGUCUUCAUGGUGAUGGUAUUGAUGAUGAUCUUGACGAACUAGAAGGGCUAACACCACACAGGCAAGCUGAAGCUGAAGUCUGCUAUCCCCCCUCCCUGACAGACGGUGUAUGAUGACGACAUGUUGGUCCUUUCUCGUCUCUGGGUGGAACUUUCACGCCUGGCACUGAGAUGAACCCGAAGUAC